This is a non-coding RNA of Paenibacillus yonginensis, 147 nucleotides long. Lineage: Bacteria; Bacillati; Bacillota; Bacilli; Caryophanales; Paenibacillaceae. The record is from Rfam.
UUAAAUCGAAUAUGCUUACCGUAGACAGUAGGUGCUGUAAAGCUUAAUUUCCUACCGAGGUGUUGUGAUAUAAGUUCGGAAUUUGCUUGGCAAAUGAUGAAUCAUCAGACCUUCGUAGUUCUACUGCGAAGGUCUUUUCAUAUCCCG